This 495-nucleotide long non-coding RNA is filed under the name Homo sapiens (human). Its description in RNAcentral is "non-protein coding lnc-C3orf85-4:7". Lineage: Eukaryota; Metazoa; Chordata; Mammalia; Primates; Hominidae. The record is from RNAcentral.
CCUACAUCUCAUUGCUUGUCCUAAAAUGAUAAAUAAGAGACUGUCUUUAUCCAAAUGGUGUUAGUAAUCUGCUCACAGGCUAGAAAUCCACGGACAGAAAAAGUAAGUAAACGGAGCCCAGGAAUAGAGAAGGAAGUGCAGGUUGUGGACUGGGCAACCCCCAAGGCGGCAAAGAGGAAACCAGAUGGAAUGUCAGUAUUGCAACUGUGAUGCCUUUAUAUCAUGUGAGAAGAACAAUAGAGUCCUGGGAGGCAAGUGCAGAUGACCCCAAGGUCCUUGUGGACAAGGAAGUAAAAGCUAAGAAGAAAUGGCACGUUUCUUAGGAAACAUUUCAAUAUUGUUAUUUAUACAAGGAUGCAGAGAACAGUACAGCUGGAGAAUUAAAUGGAGAGAUCAGCGCACAGAUGGGUAAGAAAGCACUGUUUUGCCAACUGGAUAACAUCUGGCACAUUAGAGUCAACCUAAAUACCUAACAAGCUAAACAAAAGUUCAAGU